Molecule: ribosomal RNA, 253 nt
Filed under: uncultured bacterium
Lineage: Bacteria
Description: partial 16S ribosomal RNA
Rfam family: Bacterial small subunit ribosomal RNA
Source: RNAcentral
UACGGAGGGUGCAAGCGUUGUCCGGAAUCACUGGGCGUAAAGGGCGCGUAGGCGGCUCAUGAAGGCUGUGGUGAAAGUCCGAGGCUCAACCUCGGAUCGGCCGUGGCGACUCGUGGGCUGGAGCACUGUAGAGGCGGGUGGAAUUCCGGGUGUAGCGGUGGAAUGCGUAGAGAUUCGGAAGAACACCAGUGGCGAAGGCGGCCCGCUGGGCAGUGGCUGACGCUGAGGCGCGACAGCGUGGGGAGCAAACAGG